CAGCAGCCACGGUAAUACCGAGGGUGCGAGCGUUAAUCGGAUUUACUGGGCGUAAAGCGUGCGUAGGCGGCUUCUUAAGUCGGAUGUGAAAUCCCUGAGCUUAACUUAGGAAUUGCAUUCGAUACUGGGAAGCUAGAGUAUGGGAGAGGAUGGUAGAAUUCCAGGUGUAGCGGUGAAAUGCGUAGAGAUCUGGAGGAAUACCGAUGGCGAAGGCAGCCAUCUGGCCUAAUACUGACGCUGAGGUACGAAAGCAUGGGGAGCAAACAGGAUUAGAUACCCCAGUAGUCCCUGUCUCUUAUAC
Molecule: ribosomal RNA, 301 nt
Filed under: uncultured bacterium
Lineage: Bacteria
Description: partial 16S ribosomal RNA
Rfam family: Bacterial small subunit ribosomal RNA
Source: RNAcentral